Papaver somniferum (opium poppy) is the source of this 596-nucleotide long non-coding RNA. RefSeq lists it as uncharacterized. Lineage: Eukaryota; Viridiplantae; Streptophyta; Magnoliopsida; Ranunculales; Papaveraceae. The record is from RefSeq and is a predicted model, not a curated record. The transcript is spliced from 3 exons.
GUAGUAUCAUACGUUCAAUGUGUGAGAAGGAACAUCAAAGACCGAUGAAGAUUCGGUGGCAAGUGGUUAGCAAGACUGCAGGGGCAGUUUAUUCAUCGUUCAUCGAUCUUGAAGCAAACAAGGAAGCUAAUAAAGUUGUAAGCAUUGGUUUUGAAGGUGUGGAAAUUCGAAAACAAGAAGAGUGGGAAAGUAUGGAGUCUUGAGCUUCAUGUUAUGGAUCAUAAUGAAUAGUUUACACAACAUUCAUUGAUCUCGGACCGGAUCAAACAACUCAAAAGGCAUGUGGAAAUUCGAAAACAUUAUAUACUAGAAUCCAUCCCAAAUCUACUUCUCCAAUACAAGGACUGGAAGUUGGAGAUCAUGUUGUCUGCUUCCGGGAUUUUAGUAGGUAGCAAAAGUUAUCUUGGUUUAAUAGCCCCCCUCAAUGCCUAUGACGUAUAUUUUUGUUACUUUAGAUUUCUUAUUUUUGAACCUUGGUCUAUAGUAUACUCUUGGUUGUACUGGUAGCGUGCUUGCUUUAUUGUGUUUUGGUUUACUUUGAGAUAAUCAUGAUUUUUUCCAGCCUGACCAGCAUACCCGCUGGUGGUAGUAGUACC